RNAcentral lists this ribosomal RNA (440 nucleotides) under uncultured bacterium. RNAcentral describes it as "partial 16S ribosomal RNA". It matches the Rfam family "Bacterial small subunit ribosomal RNA", at positions 338 to 795 of the family's 1533-position model. The record is from RNAcentral.
CCUACGGGGGGCAGCAGUGGGGAAUAUUGCACAAUGGGGGAAACCCUGAUGCAGCGACGCCGCGUGAGUGAAGAAGUAAUUCGGUAUGUAAAGCUCUAUCAGCAGGGAAGAAAAUGACGGUACCUGAGUAAGAAGCCCCGGCUAACUACGUGCCAGCAGCCGAGGUAAUACGUAGGGGGCAAGCGUUAUCCGGAUUUACUGGGGGUAACGGGGGCGUAGACGGCAGUGCAAGUCUGGAGGGAAAGGCGGGGGGCCAACCCCCGGACUGCUCUGGAAACUGUACGGCUGGAGUGAAGGAGAGGUAAGUGGAAUUCCUGGUGUAGCGGUGAAAUGCGUAGAUAUUAGGAGGAACACCAGUGGCGAAGGCGGCUUACUGGACUGUAACUGACGUUGAGGCUCGAAAGCGUGGGGAGCAAACAGGAUUAGAUACCCGAGUAGUC